CCUACGGGCGGCAGCAGUCGAGAAUCAUUCACAAUGGGGGAAACCCUGAUGGUGCGACGCCGCGUGGGGGAAUGAAGGUCUUCGGAUUGUAAACCCCUGUCAUGUGGGAGCAAAUUAAAAAGAUCGUACCACAAGAGGAAGAGACGGCUAACUCUGUGCCAGCAGCCGCGGUAAUACAGAGGUCUCAAGCGUUGUUCGGAAUCACUGGGCGUAAGGCGUGCGUAGGCUGUUUCGUAAGUCGUGUGUGAAAGGCGCGGGCUCAACCCGCGGACGGCACAUGAUACUGCGAGACUAGAGUAAUGGAGGGGGAACCGGAAUUCUCGGUGUAGCAGUGAAAUGCGUAGAUAUCGAGAGGAACACUCGUGGCGAAGGCGGGUUCCUGGACAUUAACUGACGCUGAGGCACGAAGGCCAGGGGAGCGAAAGGGAUUAGAUACCCCUGUAGUC
Molecule: ribosomal RNA, 446 nt
Filed under: uncultured bacterium
Lineage: Bacteria
Description: partial 16S ribosomal RNA
Rfam family: Bacterial small subunit ribosomal RNA
Source: RNAcentral